Molecule: ribosomal RNA, 480 nt
Filed under: uncultured bacterium
Lineage: Bacteria
Description: SSU rRNA
Rfam family: Bacterial small subunit ribosomal RNA
Source: RNAcentral
AGGACGAACGCUGGCGGCGUGCCUAACACAUGCAAGUCGAACGCGCUCCAUUCGGUAGCAAUACUGAUGAAGAGCGAGUGGCGAACGGGUGAGUAGCACGUGAGCAACCUGCCCCGAAGACUGGGACAACACCGGGAAACCGGUGCUAAUACCGGAUAUCCCUAUUGGAUCGCAUGAUCCGAUAAGGAAAUGUUUUUCGCUUCGGGAGGGGCUCGCGGCCUAUCAGCUAGUUGGUGGGGUAACGGCCCACCAAGGCAUCGACGGGUAGCUGGUCUGAGAGGACGAUCAGCCACACUGGGACUGAGACACGGCCCAGACUCCUACGGGAGGCAGCAGUGGGGAAUCUUGCGCAAUGGGCGAAAGCCUGACGCAGCAACGCCGCGUGGAGGACGAAGGCUUUCUGAGUUGUAAACUCCUUUCAGCAGGGACGAUUGUGACGGUACCUGCAGAAGAGCACCGGCAACUACGUGCCAGCAGCCG